CCCUUAGAUGUUCUGGGCCGCACGCGUGCUACACUGAGUGGAUCAGCGGGUCAGGUUGCGCGAAAGCGUUUCCUAAUCUUUAAAUCCGCUCGUGAUGGGGAUUGACGGUUGCAAUUUUCUGUCAUGAACGAGGAAUACCUUGUAAGCGCGGGUCAUCAUCCCGCGCUGAAUACGUCCCUGCCCUUUGUACACACCGCCCGUCGCUCCUACCGAUUGAGUGGUCCGGUGAGGCUUUGGGAUCUAAGCGAAAAGAGCGUUUCGCUCCUUUUGCUGGGAGAACUCAGUCGAACCUUAUCGUUUAGAGGAAGGAGAAGUCGUAACA
Molecule: ribosomal RNA, 322 nt
Filed under: uncultured eukaryote
Lineage: Eukaryota
Description: partial 18S ribosomal RNA
Rfam family: Eukaryotic small subunit ribosomal RNA
Source: RNAcentral